AGAGUUUGAUCCUGGCUCAGGAUGAACGCUGGCGGCGUGCCUAACACAUGCAAGUCGAACGGAGCUGCUUUGAUGAAGUUUUCGGAUGGAUUUAAAACAGCUUAGUGGCGGACGGGUGAGUAACGCGUGGGUAACCUGCCUCACACUGGGGAAUAACAGUUAGAAAUAGCUGCUAAUACCGCAUAAGCGCACAGUUCCGCAUGGAACAGUGUGAAAAACUCCGGUGGUGUGAGAUGGACCCGCGUCUGAUUAGCCAGUUGGCGGGGUAACGGCCCACCAAAGCGACGAUCAGUAGCCGGCCUGAGAGGGUGAACGGCCACAUUGGGACUGAGACACGGCCCAAACUCCUACGGGAGGCAGCAGUGGGGAAUAUUGCACAAUGGGGGAAACCCUGAUGCAGCGACGCCGCGUGAGUGAAGAAGUAUUUCGGUAUGUAAAGCUCUAUCAGCAGGGAAGAAAGUGACGGUACCUGAAUAAGAAGCCCCGGCUAACUACGUGCCAGCAGCCGCGGU
RNAcentral lists this ribosomal RNA (512 nucleotides) under uncultured Gram-positive bacterium. RNAcentral describes it as "bacterial SSU rRNA". It matches the Rfam family "Bacterial small subunit ribosomal RNA", at positions 8 to 521 of the family's 1533-position model. The record is from RNAcentral.